Molecule: ribosomal RNA, 4017 nt
Filed under: Triticum aestivum (bread wheat)
Lineage: Eukaryota; Viridiplantae; Streptophyta; Magnoliopsida; Poales; Poaceae
Description: partial small subunit ribosomal RNA
Source: RNAcentral
AAAAAAUUAUAUACUACAUAUGAUGCAGGCUAGAGUUACGACCAAACACACGCAAAAGAUUGGGGAAAUAGGAUCCGCGACACGUCUCGACCAAAAGCUUCCUUCCUCCGCCUCCACGAGGCUGCUCCUCCACCUGUCCGUGCGGCCCCCCCUCCCCCUCCCAGUGAACUGCGCGGCGACCUCCCCUGCCCAGACCUGAUCCCGCCGCCGCCCAGUCCGGCACGGUAUCCAACGGCCGGCCUGUUCCUCCUCUGCCGCCGAGUUGAGCGCCGCGAGGGCUGAUCUCGCGGAUUUUCGCCUGUUCCCGAGAGGCCAGUUGCGGAUAACUCGAUUAAGUGCUAGUGCUACCAGGAAUCGUGUGGUGUGCUUUAUCUGUCUAGCUUGCCAAUCAUCUGCAUAAAUUUCAAAGUGGGUUUUGCUUUCAGUCUGGAGGCUGAAAGAUAGGUUAACACUCUGCCAUCUGACCUUGUUCAUGCGUGCAUGGUUUGAAUGCUAACCACAAUUGAGUCCUGAAAACGCAGACGCGGUGCACAUGCUUGCCGGCAGUAUGAAUAACGAUAAUGAUAAUGUUAUUGACUUGAUAUCGGAUAGUGGUGAUGAUUUUGAUUCUGACUCUGACGAUCCAACUUCUACAAAUGUCACAUCUGGCGAGAAUGGCGGAGGUCAAUCAGUCUGCUUUCAGGAUGAAGAUUUGUUGAGGAGCACCCCCUCUUCUUCCAGGUCUAAUAUAAAUGAUAAUGGUCAGUACAGAACUCUGCCACCUUCCUUCGCAAAUGGUAUUGAUAUUGAGAAAGCCCGUUAUACACUAGGUUCGGAGGACAGAACUUAUCCACAUUCAAAUUCGGGGCCAAGACACGAUUCUGGAAGGGCCUCUCUCUCGUCCAGUAGACUUGAUAUCACAGUGAGGGAGCGCAAUGGUUUGGCAGUGGAUGCAAAUGGCAAUAACAAGAGGAUUCUUCCUUCAUCUUUUUCCAGUGGAAGCACGUCAAAAUCUACACAUCCAAGUGUUGCAAGUGAGAGCCGUAAACUCCCAUCACGUUUUACCAGUGGAAAUUCACAAAGGUUGGAUGAUAAUAGUAUGGGAACAAAUGAUGGCAAUUGCACUGGGCAGCCUUCAUCUUCAAGGUUCUCAAUCCGAAGCUACUCUGUGAGUAAUGCCCAGAAGGAUACCAUGGAAAAUGACGAUGAUGAUGUCUAUGUAUAUGAUAGUCCUAGUUCACAUAGGAUGCUGCCUGCAUCUUUUGGAGGCCAUAACUCUGCCAGUAACAAUGAACUUGCUAAUGUUAAUGACAUGCAAGCUCGUCCAAACCUAGAAAAUAGGUUUAUGGAUCCUGACGAGAGCGCGGUAUAUCAAGAGGCUCUUCAGAACAUUAGUCUGGAUAAAAGGGAAGAUGAUCUCGAUGAGGGUGUCUUAUCAGUAUCUCUGCUUAAGCACCAGAAAAUGGCAUUAGCUUGGAUGGUUUCGAAGGAGAAUAGUUCACAUUGUGCAGGAGGAAUUCUUGCAGAUGAUCAGGGUCUUGGGAAGACUGUGUCUACAAUUGCCCUUAUACUAAAACAGAAGAGUCAGCAGUCUAAGUUCAUGUGUGCUGAUUCAGAUCCUUUGAAAUCUGAAGCGCUAAACCUUGAUGAAGACGAUGAGGCAGUGACUGUUGUUGAUAAGGAGAAACAGUCUGUGAACGAUGGACCCAAGAAGGAUUUAGACGCUAGUUUAUCAACAGCAGCUAGUACUAGUGAUGUUAAACCAUCUAGUAGUCAUAUGGAUAUUGUUCCAAAUAGAAUUGUUGAAAGCAAAGUUGAACGCAAGAAGACUAAAACAGGCACAUCAUCUGCAUCAUCAACCAUGCGAUCCAUGAUGAGGCCAGCUGCAGGUACUUUAGUAGUAUGCCCUGCUAGUGUUCUUAAGCAGUGGGCUAAUGAAUUGAAUGACAAGGUUAGUCAAAGUGCUAGGUUAUCUGUUUUAGUCUACCAUGGUGGUGCAAGGACCAAAGAUCCAAGUGAGCUGGCAAAAUAUGAUGUCGUUGUCACGACAUACACAAUUGUGGCGAAUGAAGUGCCUAAACAGAAUGCUGAUGAUGACCAAGAUCAAAAGAAUGGGGAAGAAUCUUCUGUUGGUAAUAAAAGAAAACCACCAAGCAAAUCUAAGAAAAGGAAGAAGAAACUUAAGGAUUCAGAUAUUGACCUUGACAGUGGCCCAGUUGCCCGGGUACGGUGGUUUCGGGUGGUUCUUGAUGAAGCUCAGACGAUAAAAAAUUUCCGAACUCAAGUGGCUAAAGGCUGUUGUGGACUAAGAGCAAAAAGGAGAUGGUGCUUAUCAGGAACACCUAUACAAAAUUCAAUCGAUGAGCUCUACAGCUAUUUCCGUUUCUUGAAAUAUGACCCAUAUUCUACAUAUAGCUCAUUUUGUACAAUGAUAAAGCACCCAAUUGCUAGAAAUGCAGUCCAUGGGUAUAAGAAACUACAAACUGUGUUGAGGAUAGUUCUCCUGCGUCGCACAAAAGAAACUACGAUAAAUGGAGAACCGAUCAUAAACUUACCUCCAAAGACAAUUAAGUUGCAAAAGGUGGAUUUCACAAAGGAGGAGCGAGCUUUUUAUUUGACACUGGAAGAACGUUCUCGGCAACAGUUCAAGGAAUAUGCUGCUGCCGGAACAGUCAAACAAAACUAUGCCAAUAUCCUUUUAUUGUUGUUGCGCCUUAGGCAGGCUUGUGAUCAUCCUCUUCUUGUGAAGGGGCAUCAGUCAGUAUUUAAAGGCGAUGGUUCUAUAGAGAUGGCAAAACAACUUUCCAAGGAAAGGGUAAUAGAUUUGCUUGCAAGGCUGGAAGUAUCAGCGCUUUGUGCUGUAUGCCGUGACACACCUGAGGAUGCUGUUGUGGCGAUGUGUGGUCAUAUUUUCUGCUAUCAGUGUAUAUACGAGCGGAUAACAACUGAUGAAAACAUGUGCCCCGUCCCUAAUUGCAGAAACACGUUAAGUACUGAAUCAGUAUUUUCAUCAGGGACAUUAAAGAUUUGUAUCUCCGGCAAGACCAGUACUCAUGCGAUAGCGAGUUCAUCAGCAGACGAUGAGCUAUCUUCUAUCAGUCAAAGCAGUUACAUCUCCUCGAAGAUACAAGCGACCGUCGAUAUACUGAAUUCUAUCAUUAACAUGCAUGCCCUUACAGACAGCGAUACCAUUGAAUCAAAUCCAAACCGAGUAUCCCCUGUGAAAGCCAUUGUCUUCUCGCAGUGGACUGGCAUGCUGGAUUUGCUGGAGUUUUCACUGAACAGCAAUCUUAUACAGUACAGGAGACUAGACGGAACAAUGUCCCUCAAUUCAAGAGAUAAAGCCGUGAAGGAUUUUAACACCGACCCAGAGGUUAGAGUUAUGAUUAUGUCAUUGAAAGCGGGUAAUCUUGGUCUGAACAUGGUUGCUGCUUGCCAUGUAAUACUCCUUGAUCUUUGGUGGAAUCCUUAUGCUGAGGACCAGGCAAUUGAUAGAGCACACAGAAUUGGUCAGACUCGUCCGGUCACUGUCUCUCGUCUAACCAUUACAGAUACGGUGGAAGAUCGUAUUUUAUCUCUGCAGGAGGAAAAGAGAGCGAUGGUCAACUCUGCUUUCGGUGAAGACAAAUCCAGUGCCCACGCUACUCGGCUGACUGUAGAUGAUCUGAGGUAUCUGUUUAGGAUAUGAUUGCGAGGAGAUGAUCCCUUGUUGCGUUGCUAGCUUUGGAAAUCGUCAAAGUGGUGGCAGCAUGUACGUUGCUUGCAAUCUACCUAUGUCUCUCCCUGCCCCGCCGACGAUCCAGUUUUGUCAUGCUCCGAUCGAUCUUACAUGUGACAUCGGAGGGCCAACUAGCUAGCAUGUCUAGUGUAACGUACUUAUGUCCCUGAGAAUUCUUGUGUGCUCUGUUCCCUGUGAUGACAGGAGAGAUCCAUAUGUAUAGUGUGUCAUUGACUCAUUGUACUGUGGCCAUUUACUUUUUCCUUUUCUGCAAUGUUCCCGCGUGCAUUAACAGACAGGUGGAUCAUCCCACUCGUGUU